This is a long non-coding RNA of Mytilus californianus (California mussel), 418 nucleotides long. RefSeq lists it as uncharacterized. NCBI's taxonomy places the organism in Eukaryota, Metazoa, Mollusca, Bivalvia, Mytilida, Mytilidae. The transcript has 3 exons. The record is from RefSeq and is a predicted model, not a curated record.
AAAUUAGGAGGUCUUGUAUGAUUGAUAAUGAGAACGUGCAUGGAAGUACGGGAUUCAAUAAAUAGCAAAGGCCUUCCGAAGAGUCUAUUCACAAGUUCGUGGCAUGACGAAAUGUGAAACAGCUAGAAAGAAAUAAUGGGAAUCUGUUUCGGUUGGCUGAGUAGAGGGAAUGCUCUUACUCUUCUACCUCCUCCUCCACUAGAUCGUGAAGAAACAUACAAAGAUUUGAAAACUUAUCUGCAUGAAAGCCAUGAAAAGGCUGAUCAACUUCAGCAGAAUUUUGCAGACAAAGUGAUACAAAGUAAAAGAAUUAUUAAAAAUGCCAGAAAGAAAAUUGAAAAAGACUUAAGAAAGUCAAAAAAGACUAAACCGCUCCCAGAAAAGAAGGCAGAGGAAAUAGUCAAUCAUAUACAAAAGG